Delphinapterus leucas (beluga whale) is the source of this 105-nucleotide small nuclear RNA. Its record names the gene U2. It matches the Rfam family "U2 spliceosomal RNA". From Rfam's summary of the family: U2 is a small nuclear RNA (snRNA) component of the spliceosome (involved in pre-mRNA splicing). Complementary binding between U2 snRNA (in an area lying towards the 5' end but 3' to hairpin I) and the branchpoint sequence (BPS) of the intron results the bulging out of an unpaired adenosine, on the BPS, which initiates a nucleophilic attack at the intronic 5' splice site, thus starting the first of two transesterification reactions that mediate splicing. NCBI's taxonomy places the organism in Eukaryota, Metazoa, Chordata, Mammalia, Artiodactyla, Monodontidae. The record is from Ensembl.
AUAGCUUCUGAGCCUUUUGGCUAAGAUCAAGUGUAGUAGCUGUUAGUUUAAUUAUAUUCACAACAGCCAGGGAUUUGCUUUUUUAUGUAUUUUAGACCACAUUAU